UGACAGCCGUGAAGAUUACUGUCUAUAUCUGUCACUUCUACUACAACCACACCUCACAUCAAUAAAACCUGGAGUUGGUCUGGAAUAUGUCAUCAAUUUUCUGUCCCACGCUGACAUAGAAAGUAUAAGAUUUAGCCAACACUGACACAGACAAAACAUUAGUGCGUGACAGCUGCAUGGCUCAAUAUUCAUUUGACGGGAAACUACCGUUGUUUACACAGUUUGAUACUCUGCAGUGAUGGAGAAAAACCCUUGGAUAUUUUCGUUGAUAUUAUAAGGUUUAGAUACUGCAUUUUGUCAUCCCUUGAAAGUGACAUCACCACCAGCCUUUCACGGGGAUUAACUUUACGUGGUGUCCCUGUGCCUCUGACUUUUCCAUGUGGGGAAGUACCAUUGGAUUGUACCUGUAUUUGCAUAUCGGAGGCUGAGAGACAUUCUUGAAGGCCAGCUCACUGAGAUUGUUCUCAGAACCAGCAGGAUAUUGACAUCUUCCAAACAGGAUUAGACAAAGCAGUUUGUAGGUUAUGAACAUGACAACACAGGAAGAUUAAGUGCAAAUCUGGUUUUGCACGUGGUAGCUAAAGAGACGAUCGGAUAACUCAAGAGUUAACAUCAAUCUGGACCUGGAAACUAAGG
Haliotis rubra (blacklip abalone) is the source of this 636-nucleotide long non-coding RNA. RefSeq lists it as uncharacterized. The record is from RefSeq and is a predicted model, not a curated record. The transcript is spliced from 5 exons. NCBI's taxonomy places the organism in Eukaryota, Metazoa, Mollusca, Gastropoda, Lepetellida, Haliotidae.